RNAcentral lists this ribosomal RNA (489 nucleotides) under uncultured bacterium. RNAcentral describes it as "partial 16S ribosomal RNA". It matches the Rfam family "Bacterial small subunit ribosomal RNA", at positions 30 to 506 of the family's 1533-position model. The record is from RNAcentral.
AUUGAACGCUGGCGGCAGGCCUAACACAUGCAAGUCGAACGGUAACAGGAAGAAGCUUGCUUCUUUGCUGACGAGUGGCGGACGGGUGAGUAAUGUCUGGGAAACUGCCUGAUGGAGGGGGAUAACUACUGGAAACGGUAGCUAAUACCGCAUAAUGUCGCAAGACCAAAGAGGGGGACCUUCGGGCCUCUUGCCAUCGGAUGUGCCCAGAUGGGAUUAGCUAGUAGGUGGGGUAACGGCUCACCUAGGCGACGAUCCCUAGCUGGUCUGAGAGGAUGACCAGCCACACUGGAACUGAGACACGGUCCAGACUCCUACGGGAGGCAGCAGUGGGGAAUAUUGCACAAUGGGCGCAAGCCUGAUGCAGCUAUGCCGCGUGUAUGAAGAAGGCCUGCGGGUUGUAAAGUACUUUCAGCGGGGAGGAAGGGAGUAAAGUUAAGACCUUUGCUCAUUGACGUUACCCGCAGAAGAAGCACCGGCUAACUCCGU